GUUUCGGCUCUUCCUUGCGCCCCUAAGGUCUUUCUCUUUUCCUAGGUACUGCUCUACGGAAAUCAAUAUCGAAUAGAACGAGUUCUGGUUCCCCAAUCAAGCUACCAGUUCGACAUGCUCAACACUUGCCAAUCUCCCUUCUCGUUUGAGGGUUACACUAGCGCUAGGCGAACGUUCUGAUCCAGCUACCCCAACAACUCCUUAUUCCAAAAUGGGCAUUCAUCCGUGGAGUGGCCAAUGGGAAACUUAUUCCCCUUUUUAGGCCUCUCCUCAAAAGAGGUUGGAUUAGGAAAUUCAUACUUGAAGAGGAAGGAAAGGACCAAGGGUGCUUUCAUUGGACGGUAAGGUACCGAUCAGAUCAAGGAAUUGAGUAAAUAAUGCGACUUGAGCGGCCACUCUUUCCCCGCUGUGCGCAAGAUUCAGGAGUCAUUUUCAUUUGGUGGUAUCGAAUAAUAUAGAUAUAGAAAUUCUUUCUUUAGUUUAUCGUAUAAAAUAUAAAGGAAAGGCUGCAUUUAGGAGUGAUACGCUAACUAGAGAAAUUUCAUAAGAGAAGAAGAAAAGUAAAGGUUUUGAUUCGCCUUGAGUAAACAAAAAAAAAUCGCGUCAUACUUGACUUUUUCUUUAUAGAUUUUCUUUAUGUUCAGUCUAUCGAACCUAUGACUUUCUAUAUAUAGAUUGUCUUUGUGUUCAGUUUACCUUGUCUAGCCAAAACCCGGAACGGUGGGUACACGAUCUCAAGCUCUUUUCUAACUUGCUUUCGAAAAGCCAGUGCCCAAAGGUACUCUAUUGAGC
Molecule: long non-coding RNA, 792 nt
Filed under: Gossypium barbadense (sea-island cotton)
Lineage: Eukaryota; Viridiplantae; Streptophyta; Magnoliopsida; Malvales; Malvaceae
Description: long non-coding RNA (GBAR_LNC018395)
Source: RNAcentral